RNAcentral lists this long non-coding RNA (732 nucleotides) under Capsicum annuum. RNAcentral's name for it is "long non-coding RNA (CANN_LNC006120)". The record is from RNAcentral. Lineage: Eukaryota; Viridiplantae; Streptophyta; Magnoliopsida; Solanales; Solanaceae.
UCUCAUCUCCCUCGUAGUAUAUUUUAGUAUCGCAUCUCCUUCCAAUUAACUCUUUUUCUGUAAAUCUAAGAUUUCCCUAUUAGUAUAUAUGUCGAUAGUGUGUACUGUAUAGAUUAUACUGAUAAAUUAAUUGAUCGAAGGGUAAAUGUGCACAGCUUUCCAUUUAAAUGGCUGCCCCAAAAACGGGUAUUUGGGCCUUCGCCUGCUACUUAAACGGGUAUUACUCCGUUUAUACUUUGUACGUUUUCCUUUCUCAUUCUGAACGUAUGUUAGAUCUCCUAAUCUUGCUUAGCUUUCAAUUAUCCUACAUGAGUUUGUUAGAAAAAAUUACUACUACAAUAUUGAUACCAACAACAAUUAAAAGUAGGAGCAAAUUAUCACGAACACUGUCACGACCUUGAAAGUGAUUUUGGCCCGAGAAGGAUGUGAAUCAUUGUUGAUGAUCUUGAAAGGGAUUUUGGCCCGAUAAGGAUGUGAAUCAUUGUAGAUGGUCACUCCCAAGGUUCACUGUCUUUCAAAUACAUGCACUCGUGACUGAAAGUUAAAAUACAUAACGUUAGUGAAAGAGCUUUUUAUUUUCUUAUCUAUAUUUAGUUUACUAAAGAUGCUUCUUAAAUAGGAUCAUCAUUUACGUUUUCAUCCAUCAGAGGAACUUAAAAAAAAGGCAGCCCGGUGCACUAAAGCUAUCGCUAUGCGCGGUGUCCGGGGAAGGGCUCCACCACAAGGGUGUAU